This 467-nucleotide ribosomal RNA is filed under the name uncultured bacterium. RNAcentral describes it as "partial 16S ribosomal RNA". It matches the Rfam family "Bacterial small subunit ribosomal RNA", at positions 28 to 507 of the family's 1533-position model. The record is from RNAcentral.
GACGAACGCUGGCGGCGUGCUUAACACAUGCAAGUCGAACGGAAAGGCCUCUUUCGGGGGGUACUCGAGUGACGAACGGGUGAGUAACACGUGAGUAACCUGCCCUUGACUUUGGGAUAACUUCAGGAAACUGGGGCUAAUACCGGAUAGGAGCUCCUGCUGCAUGGUGGGGGUUGGAAAGUUUCGGCGGUUGGGGAUGGACUCGCGGCUUAUCAGCUUGUUGGUGGGGUAGUGGCUUACCAAGGCUUUGACGGGUAGCCGGCCUGAGAGGGUGACCGGCCACAUUGGGACUGAGAUACGGCCCAGACUCCUACGGGAGGCAGCAGUGGGGAAUAUUGCACAAUGGGUGGAAGCCUGAUGCAGCAACGCCGGGUGCGGGAUGACGGCCUUCGGGUUGUAAACCGCUUUCGCUCAUGACGAAGCUUUGUGUGACGGUAGUGGGUAAAGAAGCACCGGCUAACUACGUG